AAGGAAUAUUGCUCAAUGGGAGAAAUCCUGAAGCAGCAACGCCGCGUGGAGGAUGAAGGGUCUAUGGCUUGUAAACUCCUGUAAAGAAGGAAAAAAUUCCCAUUAGAUGGGAGAUGAUGGUACUUCUGGAGUAAGCCCCGGCUAACUACGUGCCAGCAGCCGCGGUAAUACGUAGGGGGCAAGCGUUGUCCGGAUUUACUGGGUGUAAAGGGUGCUCAGGCGGAUUUGUAAGUCAGAGGUGAAAUCUUACAGCUUAACUGUGAAACUGCCUUUGAUACUGCAAGCCUAGAGUAUGGAAGAGAGUGAUGGAAUAUCUGGUGUAGCAGUGAAAUGCGUAGAUAUCAGAUAGAACACCAAUGGCGAAGGCAGUCACUUGGUCCAUUACUGACGCUAAAGCACGAAAGCGUGGGUAGCAAACA
This 419-nucleotide ribosomal RNA is filed under the name uncultured bacterium. RNAcentral's name for it is "bacterial SSU rRNA". It matches the Rfam family "Bacterial small subunit ribosomal RNA", at positions 356 to 774 of the family's 1533-position model. The record is from RNAcentral.